UGCCUUUGCUUGUGUAGGGUAUUCACAGCAAAGAGCUGCAAUUUGUUGCGAGACCGGCUGCCCUUGAAAUGCACCGACCUUUGUCUAAAGGUGGAUUGCAUUUUUAUGGAUGCUAACAACAAAAGCAAGGAGAUACAGAUGACGGUCUAUGAAACUAAUCCCAGGAGGAAGAGAAUGAUUCUUCUGAAAGGCAGCUUGAUUGCCUUUUGGCAUGAUUUGGAGGACAAAGGUCAUGGAUAUGUCAUUGCUCCCCGGAGUGCCUUGUGGACCAGAAUAGAGGGAGACCCUCUGCCCCAGUGCUGUCGCACCUUGCUUGUUCUACAGCACGGACCACUCUUUCAUCUGCCCUGUUCCAGUAGCCAUCUGUGUACAUCUUGGACCAUUUGCACUUCAUUCUCAUCUGCAAACAUGCCAUUAGCUUCAAUGGAUGGCUUGAAUGGAUUGGUCAGAUCUGAGAUGGUGCAGGAGUGAAGAAGUGUAGGAGAUAAUAAUUAUAUAGAGUGCAAGUGACUAAACCACUUAUAACAAGGGGUGGAGAGCAUGUGACCCUUCAGUUGUGAUUCGUCUGCCACUUCCAUCAACCUGCACUGGCACUGGUGAAGGAUUAUGGGAGUUGCAAUAUCAUAACAUUUAUAGGACUAUACCUUCCCUGUCUCUGAUCUACACCAAACAUUUUAAGUCAGUAGUAUUAACUCACAAAGAUUGCCCUUACUGAAGCCCAUAAGGUCAAGAAUGUGGGGCUGAGACUUAGGAGAACCAGGUUCAAAUCCUCACCUAGCCAUGAAACUCACUAAAUGAUCUUGGGACAGUUGUACUGCCCGACGGGGAUGUACAGAGAAGAAAGUGAGGAAGAAGGAGAGCUCUGUAUACUUAUUGGAGGAAAGGUCAUAUAAACAAAUGUGUGAGACAGACAAACAUACAAAUACUUAACAGUGCUCAUCUACAUGUCUGCUUGGAAGUACACUGAAUAAUAUUAAAAUCAUUGACAGGUGAAGUGAAUAGCAUUGAUUAUAUUGUUACAGUGGCACCUGUCAAGGAGUGGGAUAUAUUAGGCAGAGUCAUUUUUGGAAUUUCAUGUGUCGGAAGCAGGAAAUACGGGGAAGGCGAAAAGAUCUGAGUGACUUUGACAAGGGCCAAGUGGUGCUGGCUAGAUAACUGGGUCAGAGCUUCGCCCAAAUGGCAAGUCUUGUGAGGUGUUUCUGGGAUGCCAUGGUCAGUACCUACCAAAAGUGGUGCAAGUAAGGACAACCGGCGUCAGGGUUGUGGGGACCCAAGGCUCAUUGAUGCACACGGGGAGCGAAGGCUAGCCCAUCUGGUCUGGUCAGACAGAAGAGCUACAAAGGGCUGAAAAGCCUAAUGCUGGCCAUGAUGGAAAGAUGUCAGAACACUCAGUGCAUCGUAGUUUGUGGCAUAUGGGGCUGCGUAGCCACAGACCAGUCAGCGUGCCCAUGAUGACCCCUGUCCAUUGCCA
This 1471-nucleotide long non-coding RNA is filed under the name Pogona vitticeps (central bearded dragon). RNAcentral describes it as "lncRNA (ENSPVIG00000002826.1)". Lineage: Eukaryota; Metazoa; Chordata; Lepidosauria; Squamata; Agamidae. The record is from RNAcentral.